This 440-nucleotide ribosomal RNA is filed under the name uncultured bacterium. RNAcentral's name for it is "partial 16S ribosomal RNA". It matches the Rfam family "Bacterial small subunit ribosomal RNA", at positions 339 to 795 of the family's 1533-position model. The record is from RNAcentral.
CUACGGGCGGCAGCAGUGAGGAAUAUUGCACAAUGGGGGGAACCCUGAUGCAGCAACGCCGCGUGGAGGAUGACGCAUUUCGGUGUGUAAACUCCUUUUAUAUGUCAAGAAAAUGACGGUAGCAUAUGAAUAAGCACCGGCUAGCUCCGUGCCAGCAGCCGGCGGUAAUACGGAGGGUGCAAGCGUUACUCGGAAUCACUGGGCGUAAAGGACGCGUAGGCGGGUUGGAAAGUCAGGUGUGAAAUCCUACAGCUUAACUGUAGAACUGCACUUGAAACUUCUAAUCUAGAGUAUGGGAGGGGGAGAUGGAAUUAGUGGUGUAGGGGUAAAAUCCGUAGAUAUCACUAGGAAUACCUAAAGCGAAGGCGAUCUCCUGGAACAUUACUGACGCUAAGGCGUGAAAGCGUGGGGAGCAAACAGGAUUAGAUACCCCUGUAGUC